UACGUAGGGUGCGAGCGUUAAUCGGAAUUACUGGGCGUAAAGCGUGCGCAGGCGGCUUUGCAAGACAGAUGUGAAAUCCCCGGGCUCAACCUGGGAACUGCAUUUGUGACUGCAAGGCUAGAGUACGGCAGAGGGGGAUGGAAUUCCGCGUGUAGCAGUGAAAUGCGUAGAUAUGCGGAGGAACACCAAUGGCGAAGGCAAUUCCCUGGGCCUGUACUGACGCUCAUGCACGAAAGCGUGGGGAGCAAACAGG
This 253-nucleotide ribosomal RNA is filed under the name uncultured bacterium. Its description in RNAcentral is "partial 16S ribosomal RNA". It matches the Rfam family "Bacterial small subunit ribosomal RNA", at positions 524 to 776 of the family's 1533-position model. The record is from RNAcentral.